CCUACGGGUGGCAGCAGUGGGGGAUAUUGCACAAUGGGGGGAACCCUGAUGCAGCGACGCCGCGUGGGUGAAGAAGCGCCUCGGCGCGUAAAGCCCUGUCAGCAGGGAAGAAAAUGACGGUACCUGAAGAAGAAGCCCCGGCUAACUACGUGCCAGCAGCCGCGGUAAUACGUAGGGGGCAAGCGUUAUCCGGAUUUACUGGGUGUAAAGGGGGCGCAGACGGCGAUGCAAGCCAGGAGUGAAAGCCCGGGGCCCAACCCCGGGACUUCUCGUGGCACUGCGGUGCGGGAGUGCAGGGGGGGGAAGGCGAAAUCCCGGGGGUGCGGUGAAAUGCGUAGAUAUCAGGAGGAACACCGGUGGCGAAGGCGGCCUGCUGGACUGCAACUGACGUUGAGGCCCGAAAGCGUGGGGAGCAAACAGGAUUAGAUACCCCUGUAGUC
This 440-nucleotide ribosomal RNA is filed under the name uncultured bacterium. RNAcentral describes it as "partial 16S ribosomal RNA". It matches the Rfam family "Bacterial small subunit ribosomal RNA", at positions 338 to 795 of the family's 1533-position model. The record is from RNAcentral.